Molecule: long non-coding RNA, 481 nt
Filed under: Homo sapiens (human)
Lineage: Eukaryota; Metazoa; Chordata; Mammalia; Primates; Hominidae
Description: HSALNT0085755
Source: RNAcentral
UUACCAACUUUUUAUUCUGUGAAAAUGGUGUCCCAGAGAAGGUGAGAAAUAGAUUUACCCUUGACAGCUCAUUAAACAGGUACUGGAAAAACCAUAAGAUGAAGAGAGUUAUGGUAAAUGAAUAACUACCACUAUUCAGGCACUGCCAAUCCCAAUAUCUCAGUGCCCUAAAUUGAGAAGACAAAGAAGGUGUAAAUUUUGGAUGUGAGUUUGGAGUUUAUCUUUGGACUGAAAAAAAGUUGUGUAUUACUUCAGAUUGACCAGAAAGCUGUGGGAUCUACCCAAGAGCACAUCAAGAGGUAGAAAAGGGAAAGCUAGAGAAAAAAAUUGUAAUGGAUUGAUUAAUACAUGGCAUCAUCUUGCCCAUAAAUUCUGAGAAAAUUUUGUGCUGUUUACCCACAAUUAAAGAUAGCUUUAAUGCUAUAUUCAGUAUCAGUUUGAAUUUCCAAAAACCACAAGAUGAGUGAAGUUAGACCAGAAU